GGAGUGGUCGCAUAGUUGGCCUAGUGCGCACGAUUGGAAAUCGUGUACCGGUGUAAAAGCCGGUCGUGGGUUCGAAUCCCACCCACUCCG
RNAcentral lists this transfer RNA (90 nucleotides) under Anaerolineae bacterium SG8_19. Its description in RNAcentral is "tRNA-Ser". It matches the Rfam family "tRNA". From Rfam's summary of the family: Transfer RNA (tRNA) molecules are approximately 80 nucleotides in length. Their secondary structure includes four short double-helical elements and three loops (D, anti-codon, and T loops). Lineage: Bacteria; Bacillati; Chloroflexota; Anaerolineae. The record is from RNAcentral. RNAcentral also lists the same sequence under 1 other name.